Molecule: small nuclear RNA, 266 nt
Filed under: Ochotona princeps (American pika)
Lineage: Eukaryota; Metazoa; Chordata; Mammalia; Lagomorpha; Ochotonidae
Description: 7SK RNA (ENSOPRG00000023817.1)
Rfam family: 7SK RNA (bases 1-176)
About the family: 7SK was discovered as an abundant small nuclear RNA in the mid-70s but a possible function has only recently been suggested. Two independent studies have found that 7SK RNA binds the CDK9/cyclin T complex (known as elongation factor P-TEFb). P-TEFb activates transcription by phosphorylating the C-terminal domain of RNA polymerase II.
Source: RNAcentral
GGAUGUGAGGGUGACCUGGCUGUGACAUCUGCCAUGCUGUUGGUCACCAGGCUUGGCGUGGCUGGCCUGUCCCUUCCCUCCUCAUGGCUCCACAGACAUCCCUCCAGAAGCUACAGUCUCUGCUGGAAAGCCUGAGAUUUCCCAGCAAAACAGAACCAUCCUUCAACCACAGGCAGGGGCGAAUGUCUGCUGCAGGAGCUAAGACACUGCUUUGGGACAUCCACAACCCAAAUCUAAGUCCCUGGGUUCAAGUUUCAGGUCCACUU